CUACGGAGGGGGCGAGCGUUAUUCGGAAUCAUUGGGCGUAAAGGGCGCGUAGGCGGCCUGACAAGUCAGGGGUGAAAUCCCUCGGCUCAACCGAGGAACUGCCUCUGAAACUGUCAGGCUCGAGGCCGGGAGAGGGUAGUGGAAUUCCCAGUGUAGCGGUGAAAUGCGUAGAUAUUGGGAGGAACACCAGUGGCGAAGGCGGCUACCUGGACCGGUUCUGACGCUGAGGCGCGAAAGUGUGGGGAGCAAACAGGAUUAGAAACCCUAGUAGUCC
RNAcentral lists this ribosomal RNA (274 nucleotides) under uncultured bacterium. RNAcentral describes it as "partial 16S ribosomal RNA". It matches the Rfam family "Bacterial small subunit ribosomal RNA", at positions 523 to 796 of the family's 1533-position model. The record is from RNAcentral.